RNAcentral lists this ribosomal RNA (804 nucleotides) under Triticum aestivum (bread wheat). RNAcentral's name for it is "partial small subunit ribosomal RNA". Lineage: Eukaryota; Viridiplantae; Streptophyta; Magnoliopsida; Poales; Poaceae. The record is from RNAcentral.
AUGGCAGGGAGACAGCGCAUAGGUCGCCAGUACUAUGAGGAACCAUGGGGAUUUCGUGAUGGCCCCCCUCCUCGACUUGCCCGGGAAAGGUCUAUCUCACCACGACGCAUCGAAGGAGAGCUGUCUAGCCGCCGUGGUGAGAUACGCAGAAUCCAUGAUGACAACCAACGUCUGGCGGAUGAAAUUGUUGGACUCAGGCAAGCAAUGUCCCGUUUGAAAGAAGAUCUCCAUUCCUCAAGUCAGGUUAUACCUAAGCUCCGUGCAGAGAAAGAACUUGAAUCGAGGGAGCUGACUCAGAGGAACCUGAAGCUGGAAGCUGAGCUGCGCUCCUUAGAACCCCUUAGGCAAGAUGCCUUGCAUCUACGAUCUGAAGUAGGUACGCUAGAGUCUUUGAGGCAAGAGCUGAACGCAAAGGUGCAGGGUCUGACAAAGGAGCUUGAGCAACAGAGCUCUGAAAACCAGCGCAUACCUGCCAUGAUUGCUGAACGUGAUGAUCUGCGGCAGGAACUAAUUCGUGCUAGGGCGGCUCUUGAUUAUGAGAAGAAUGCAAAGCCAGAGCUGAUGGCACAGGUGCAGGCAGUGGAGAAGGAUCUUGUGACUAUGGCUCAGGAGUCUGAGAAGCUUAGGGCUGAAAUUGAGAAGAGAAGGGCACCACCACCUAGGGUCAGCGGCUAUGGAGCUUACGGACCACCUCCUGGGAUGGGCGUGCAAGGCAUGUACGACGGCGGCUACAAUACCUACACAGACAGGCGCUACGGUACGGGUGGUGGACCAUGGGACCCCCCUAGCUACCCGCGCCCUUGA